AUACCACUACUCUUAUUGUUUCCUUACUUACUUGAUCCAUUGGAACGUGUAUCAUUUCCUAGCCAUUAUACGGAUAUAUUUAUUAUAUCUUAUGGUAUUGGGUUUUGAUGCAAGCUUCUUGAUCAAAGUAUCACGAGUUUGUUAUAUAAUCGCAAACAAAUUCUUUAAUGAGAAAAUGCAUUUAUGUAUUUUCAAUUUGAAAAUUUGGUAUAACUCCAAUUACUCAGGUAUGAUCCAAUUCAAGGACAUUGCCAGGUAGGGAGUUUGACUGGGGCGGUACAUCUCUCAAAUAAUAACGGAGGUGUCCCAAGGCCAGCUCAGUGCGGACAGAAACCACACAUAGAGCAAAAGGGCAAAUGCUGACUUGAUCUCGGUGUUCAGUACACACAGGGACAGCAAAAGCUCGGCCUAUCGAUCCUUUUGGUUUAAAGAGUUUUUAACAAGAGGUGUCAGAAAAGUUACCAUAGGGAUAACUGGCUUGUGGCGGCCAAGCGUUCAUAGCGACGUCGCUUUUUGAUCCUUCGAUGUCGGCUCUUCCUAUCAUUGUGAAGCAAAAUUCACCAAGCGUUGGAUUGUUCACCCAUGCAAGGGAACGUGAGCUGGGUUUAGACCGUCGUGAGACAGGUUAGUUUUACCCUACUAAUGACAAAACGUUGUUGCGACAGCAUUCCUGCGUAGUACGAGAGGAACCGCAGGUACGGACCAAUGGCACAAUACUUGUUCGAGCGAACAGUGGUAUGACGCUACGUCCGUUGGAUUAUGCCUGAACGCCUCUAAGGUCGUAUCCGUGCUGGACUGCAAUGAUAAAUAAGGGGCAAUUUGCAUUGUAUGGCUUCUAAACCAUUAAAAGUUUAUAAUUUAUUUUAUAAACGACAAUGGAUGUGAUGCCAAUGUAAUUUGUAACAUAGUAAAUUGGGGAGGAUCAUCGAUCACCUGAUGCCGCGCUAGUUGCAUAUGAAAAACAUUAUUUAAUACAAUGACAAAGCCUAGAAUCAAUUGUAAACGACUUUUGUAACAGGCAAGGUGUUGUAAGUGGUUGAGCAGCUGCCAUACUGCGAUCC
This 1061-nucleotide non-coding RNA is filed under the name Drosophila persimilis. RNAcentral describes it as "Eukaryotic large subunit ribosomal RNA". It matches the Rfam family "Eukaryotic large subunit ribosomal RNA", at positions 2494 to 3369 of the family's 3401-position model. Lineage: Eukaryota; Metazoa; Arthropoda; Insecta; Diptera; Drosophilidae. The record is from Rfam by way of RNAcentral.